UCCAGAAACAGGGAGAAAAACAAUCCAGAAAUCCGAGAAUCAGCUGUUUGUUUGUCUCUUUUCUCUUUGCUUCUCGAGUUUGAGUUCGGGAAAGGAGUUCGAAGUUGGAAUCUUUGACGUCAAAGCUUUAGUUUGCUGCUCCAAAGAAGGUAAUCUCUUUUUCCUUUGUUUAUAGCUACUUUAAUUUCUGUUUUUAAUCUGCGUUGAUCCCAUAGUACGUUUUCUUUGAUUCUGCGAGUAUGUAGUUGUUGUAAUUUGCUGAUUUAAAUUUCUUUGAAGUUCCCUGUUUAUGCUUGGAUCCCCUGUAAUUCUAAUUUCUUUUUUAACAUGUGAACAUUAGUUAGGCGCAGUUACGUAUUGUGGUUAUUAUCAUAGCUUGCUAAUGCUCCUGUUUGCUUAGUCUUCCUAGUUUUAUCAUAAGUAGUUUUGAAUUGGUUUACUCGUUCUUAGUAUGGUUUUGCUUGUUAUGAAUCUAUUAGAUAUGCGAUAGUCAUCAGUGUUCUUGGAUGUUCGAAUCAGUUUGUUAGUUGUUCGUGUCCUCGGGAUCCAUAUCAAAUUGUUUUAUUGAAAUCGAUUUGAAAAAUGGUUUAAUAAAUUGUCCAAUUUAAGUUUUGUUACUUCUCUUUUCUCUGUUUAUUACCUCUUAAAAUUAGGACGAGACCAUCAUUGGUUCAAUAGGACACACAUAUUUGUUUAAGUUAGUAUUUAUUUUGUCCCCUGAUCUUGUUAAUCAAUGCCUUAGCCUUUCCUCUUUUACAGCUUGCUAGCUUUAAAUAAUUAAUAUAGUGGUUAAUCUUUAUUCGCUUCAAGAAUGACCUUGAUUAGCUUUGAGUUUAUAGUGUUUUCUCUUAGUUAAAUAAAUGCUUUAUGUAGUGUUUUCCUUAAACUUUGACCCUUUUUGUGAAUAUUUCUACCUUUCCUUCAUAGUAUUAUUAAUUCAGGUCGUUACUCGUAAUGUUUUGAAUGUUUGUAACUCCUCUCAAGUUCUAUUUUUAUGUAUAAUUUUUUAGGACUAUAACUUGGUUGAAACUAUACCUAGUAUUUUUCCAGCUCUUUACCACACUUAAUUUUAUAUCUUUGACGUCAACUCCAUAGUAUGUUUCAGAUUAUUUUUUUAAUCAAAAUUUUGCCUAAAUAAUCAUUUUCUAAGUCUGAAUGAGCCAUUUCGAACUCUCAAGAUCAGCUCUUCCUAAUCUUCCAUCCCCCUCCCCUGUUUGAAGAUCUGGAAAAUAUAAGAGUAUGGAUAAAUGUCUAGUCAUUUUACAUAGUUAACCGAAACGUAAUCCUUGAUUCAAGAUAUGUGAAAAUUUUGGUUUAUACAUAUCCUCCAUUUGGAGGGGCUGAUUUUAUUAUUCUACAAGAACUAAUCCAAAGAGUUCUCGAGUGACUAGUUUUAAUCUAGUAGUAUUGUGGAUUGAUUUUUAGUGAUCAGUUAAGAUGAUCUCUCUUCAGUCCUUAUUUUACGACUUUAUAGUUAAGAUAGUACUUUACUAUCCAAAAUAAUUUGAUUGAUUAGCUUUCCAGUGGCUCUUCCUUUAAUUGUAUACCAAGAUCAUAAAAUAAUACAAGUGUUCACCUCUUCCCCCGACUCUUCUUGUGAUGUUUCUCUCUAGAUUGAUUAAAGUCUUUGGUAUACUAAUUACUUAAAUGUCGUCAAGGAAUUGCGAGAAUAGUAUUAUGUUGUUGCUUUUUUUUUGAGUAUAUUUACAGUAUGCCUACCUACAACUACAUAAUACUUAUUUUACAUGUCUUUGAUGAACCUAAAAUUCAGUCGCUAAUUCUAUUUCUUCUUUGUUUGUCACAUGUACACUCGGGAGCGUGUUUGGAGUUAGUAUAUGACUACAUCUCUGUCCAAUUCAGAGAAGCGACUAAUAGCCUACAUUAUUUGCUCGUGUCUAGCAGCCCUCAUCUCAUCAAUAGUGUCAACGCUUCCUAUUUUAGUUCAAAGCUUUACAUUUUUUAUAUAUACAUAUAUGCGCGGUUACUUCGGCUAACGUUUUACAUAUUAGUAUUUAACAUUUAUAUUUUUUGAUUGCUCCUAUUUGUGUUUGGAUUUGUACAAACUAACUAGAAUGAGAGUAAGAUGCAGUCGUCCAUCUCACAUUCCUCUAGAUAUUUGGGUUUUAGUAUGACCAUUUGGCUUAUGACGACGCUUUCCAAAGAAAUUUUUUUCAUCUAUUAUAUCUUUUGGUUGUGAAAGCUUAACCUUU
Molecule: long non-coding RNA, 2210 nt
Filed under: Solanum tuberosum (potato)
Lineage: Eukaryota; Viridiplantae; Streptophyta; Magnoliopsida; Solanales; Solanaceae
Description: long non-coding RNA (STUB_LNC010864)
Source: RNAcentral